CAUUGAAAGAUUUAGAUUUUGUGAAAAACUAUGCCUAAAUACGUCAAGAAAUGUUGUGUUCCAAAUUGUAAAGACACUCAUAGUAGAAGACAUCAAUUUCCAAAGUUUCAACCUCAACUUUUUAAUCUAUGGUUGCAAAAUAUCAGUAAUGUUAAGUUAAAUAGCCUUAGUAAAGACAAUGUAUAUAAAUCCUAUAAAGUUUGUGAAAGACACUUUAAAAAAAGCUGUAUUGUGCCAGGUACUCGUAAAGGGCUUGUUGUUAAUGCAGUACCAACACUUUAUCUUCCUGGGAGUCCUGAAGAUAAUGUAAUUCUACAAGACGAGCAAAAUAAGAAUGCAUCAACCUCGGCAUCAACAUUUACUGACCAUGAUUAUUGUUUGUUAGAAAGCAAUUCUGACUUAAGAGCUUUCCAAGAUAUUUUUACAACUCCUGAACUUUCAACAUCUCUGAGUGAAAUUGAUAACCAGCUGAGUGAUAAACCAUCUGUAUCUGGAAAUGUUGGAUCCAAGAGAAAAAGGAAAGGUAAAUUUGGAUGCCAGGUACUGCAAGUUUCUCUUUUUAUUGCU
RNAcentral lists this long non-coding RNA (567 nucleotides) under Anthonomus grandis grandis. Its description in RNAcentral is "uncharacterized LOC126744127". The record is from RNAcentral. Lineage: Eukaryota; Metazoa; Arthropoda; Insecta; Coleoptera; Curculionidae.